UUCCUACGGGGGGCAGCAGUGGGGGAUAUUGCACAAUGGGGGAAACCCUGAUGCAGCGACGCCGCGUGGGUGAAGAAGCGCCUCGGCGCGUAAAGCCCUGUCAGCAGGGAAGAAAAUGACGGUACCUGAAGAAGAAGCCCCGGCUAACUACGUGCCAGCAGCCGCGGUAAUACGUAGGGGGCAAGCGUUAUCCGGAUUUACUGGGUGUAAAGGGAGCGUAGACGGCUGUGCAAGUCUGAAGUGAAAGCCCAGGGCUCAACCCUGGGACUGCUUUGGAAACUGUGGAGCUAGAGUGCUGGAGAGGG
Molecule: ribosomal RNA, 305 nt
Filed under: uncultured bacterium
Lineage: Bacteria
Description: bacterial SSU rRNA
Rfam family: Bacterial small subunit ribosomal RNA
Source: RNAcentral